AUCUUUCGAUUUGCUCAUAUUCAGUCUAUCUAUUAACUUUCCAUUAAUUCUGUUGAAAAAUUAGGUAUAAUAAAAAAUUUAGUCCCACAACUUUUAUAAUUUUUAUCAAUUUGACCCCUAUUUGAUUACAACACAGCAUAAUAGUAGGACAAUUCCCUAUUUGAUUUCACUAAACAAAAACACUCAUUCUCCAAAAACCCAAC
RNAcentral lists this long non-coding RNA (203 nucleotides) under Gossypium raimondii (Peruvian cotton). RNAcentral describes it as "long non-coding RNA (GRAI_LNC007198)". The record is from RNAcentral. Lineage: Eukaryota; Viridiplantae; Streptophyta; Magnoliopsida; Malvales; Malvaceae.